GGACGUGUCUGUCUGUGACAUCUGUAACCCCAUUGAUCACCAAGGUUGAUUCGGCUGAUCUGGCUGGCAAGACAGGUGUCCCCUUCCUUCCUGACCACUCCAUGUGUAUCCCUCCGAAAGCUGCAUGCUCCAUCAAAGAGGACAACCUUCCCUGAAUAGAGGAAGACUAGUCUUCAGUCAAGGGUAUACGAGUAGCUGUGCUCCCCUGCUAGAACCUCCAAACAGGCUCUCAAAUUGUCCUCUGAAUACUUAUGGACAUAUNNNNNNNNNNN
Molecule: small nuclear RNA, 272 nt
Filed under: Jaculus jaculus (lesser Egyptian jerboa)
Lineage: Eukaryota; Metazoa; Chordata; Mammalia; Rodentia; Dipodidae
Description: 7SK RNA (ENSJJAG00000003453.1)
Rfam family: 7SK RNA
About the family: 7SK was discovered as an abundant small nuclear RNA in the mid-70s but a possible function has only recently been suggested.
Source: Rfam by way of RNAcentral